Molecule: ribosomal RNA, 158 nt
Filed under: uncultured Thelephoraceae
Lineage: Eukaryota; Fungi; Basidiomycota; Agaricomycetes; Thelephorales; Thelephoraceae
Description: 5.8S ribosomal RNA
Rfam family: 5.8S ribosomal RNA
About the family: 5.8S ribosomal RNA (5.8S rRNA) is a component of the large subunit of the eukaryotic ribosome. It is transcribed by RNA polymerase I as part of the 45S precursor that also contains 18S and 28S rRNA.
Source: RNAcentral
AUACAACUUUCAGCAACGGAUCUCUUGGCUCUCGCAUCGAUGAAGAACGCAGCGAAAUGCGAUAAGUAAUGUGAAUUGCAGAAUUCAGUGAAUCAUCGAAUCUUUGAACGCACCUUGCGCCCUUUGGCUAUUCUGAAGGGCAUGCCUGUUUGAGUAUC